UUAAUACCCGUAAUAAUAUCGGUUGGCAUCGAUUGAUAUUUAUAGCUCCGGCGCUUGAAGAUGGGCGUGCGUCUGAUUAGGUAGUUGGCGGGGUAACGGCCACCAAGCCUACGAUCAGUAACUGGUGUGAGAGCACGACCAGUCACACGGGCACUGAGACACGGGCCCGACUCCUACGGGAGGCAGCAGUAAGGAAUAUUGGUCAAUGGACGCAAGUCUGAACCAGCCAUGCCGCGUGGAGGAUGAAGGCCCUCUGGGUUGUAAACUUCUUUUAUCUGGGAAGAAACCGGACCUUUCUAGGGCCGUUGACGGUACCAGAUGAAUAAGCACCGGCUAACUCCGUGC
This 345-nucleotide ribosomal RNA is filed under the name uncultured Chitinophaga sp. Its description in RNAcentral is "bacterial SSU rRNA". It matches the Rfam family "Bacterial small subunit ribosomal RNA", at positions 163 to 508 of the family's 1533-position model. Lineage: Bacteria; Pseudomonadati; Bacteroidota; Chitinophagia; Chitinophagales; Chitinophagaceae. The record is from RNAcentral.